This 76-nucleotide transfer RNA is filed under the name Bacillus sp. UFRGS-B20. RNAcentral describes it as "tRNA-OTHER". The record is from RNAcentral. Lineage: Bacteria; Bacillati; Bacillota; Bacilli; Caryophanales; Bacillaceae.
GGCUCGGUUAGCUCAAGUCGGUAGACAGAGACUGAAAAAUCCUCGUGUCGGCGGUUGAUUCCGUCCCGAGCCACCC